UUCGGACUGCAGCCUGCAACCCGGCUGCACGAAGCCGGAAUCGCUAGUAAUCGCAGAUCAGCAUGCUGCGGUGAAUACGUUCCCGGGCCUUGUACACACCGCCCGUCACACCAUGAGAGCCGGGAACACCCGAAGUCCGUAGUCUAACCGUAAGGAGGACGCGGCCGAAGGUGGGUUUGGUAAUUGGGGUGAAGUCGUAACAAGGUAAC
Molecule: ribosomal RNA, 209 nt
Filed under: uncultured bacterium
Lineage: Bacteria
Description: partial 16S ribosomal RNA
Rfam family: Bacterial small subunit ribosomal RNA
Source: RNAcentral